This 484-nucleotide ribosomal RNA is filed under the name uncultured bacterium. RNAcentral's name for it is "partial 16S ribosomal RNA". It matches the Rfam family "Bacterial small subunit ribosomal RNA", at positions 28 to 507 of the family's 1533-position model. The record is from RNAcentral.
AUUGAACGCUGGCGGCAUGCUUUACACAUGCAAGUCGAACGGCAGCGCGGGCUUCGGCCUGGCGGCGAGUGGCGAACGGGUGAGUAAUGCAUCGGAACGUGCCCAGUAGUGGGGGAUAGCCCGGCGAAAGCCGGAUUAAUACCGCAUACGACCUGAGGGUGAAAGCGGGGGACCGAAAGGCCUCGCGCUAUUGGAGCGGCCGAUGUCGGAUUAGCUAGUUGGUGGGGUAAAGGCUUACCAAGGCGACGAUCCGUAGCUGGUCUGAGAGGACGACCAGCCACACUGGGACUGAGACACGGCCCAGACUCCUACGGGAGGCAGCAGUGGGGAAUUUUGGACAAUGGGGGCAACCCUGGUCCAGCCAUGCCGCGUGCGGGAAGAAGGCCUUCGGGUUGUAAACCGCUUUUGUUCGGGAAGAAAUCCUCUGGGCUAAUACCCCGGGGGGAUGACGGUACCGGAAGAAUAAGCACCGGCUAACUACGUG